RNAcentral lists this ribosomal RNA (392 nucleotides) under uncultured Gammaproteobacteria bacterium. Its description in RNAcentral is "bacterial SSU rRNA". It matches the Rfam family "Bacterial small subunit ribosomal RNA", at positions 370 to 779 of the family's 1533-position model. The record is from RNAcentral. Lineage: Bacteria; Pseudomonadati; Pseudomonadota; Gammaproteobacteria.
AACGGGCGCAAGCCUGAUCUAGCCAUGCCGCGUGAGUGAUGAAGGCCUUAGGGUCGUAAAGCUCUUUCGCCAGGGAUGAUAAUGACAGUACCUGGUAAAGAAACCCCGGCUAACUCCGUGCCAGCAGCCGCGGUAAUACGGAGGGGGUUAGCGUUGUUCGGAAUUACUGGGCGUAAAGCGCACGUAGGCGGAUUAGUAAGUCAGAGGUGAAAUCCCGGGGCUCAACCCCGGAACUGCCUUUGAUACUGCUAGUCUUGAGUUCGAGAGAGGUGAGUGGAAUUCCGAGUGUAGAGGUGAAAUUCGUAGAUAUUCGGAGGAACACCAGUGGCGAAGGCGGCUCACUGGCUCGAUACUGACGCUGAGGUGCGAAAGUGUGGGGAGCAAACAGGAUU